CAAGUGGUGGAGCAUGUGGUUUAAUUCGAUGAUACGCGAGGAACCUUACCUAGGCUAGAAUGCGCGUGACCGGCUCAGAGAUGAGCCUUUCCUUCGGGACACAAAGCAAGGUGCUGCAUGGCCGUCGUCAGCUCGUGCCGUGAGGUGUUGGGUUAAGUCCCGCAACGAGCGCAACCCCUAUGUUUAGUUGCCAGCAUGUAAUGAUGGGGACUCUAGACAGACUGCCUGCGCAAGCAGUGAGGAAGGCGGGGACGACGUCAGGUCAUCAUGGCCCUUACGCCUAGGGCGACACACGUGCUACAAUGGACGGUACAGCGGGUAGCUACACAGCGAUGUGAUGCCAAUCUCGAAAAGCCGUUCUCAGUUCGGAUCGGAGUCUGCAACUCGACUCCGUGAAGCUGGAAUCACUAGUAAUCGCGCAUCAGCCAUGGCGCGGUGAAUACGUUCCCGGGGCCUUGUACACACC
This 466-nucleotide ribosomal RNA is filed under the name uncultured bacterium. RNAcentral describes it as "bacterial SSU rRNA". It matches the Rfam family "Bacterial small subunit ribosomal RNA", at positions 926 to 1391 of the family's 1533-position model. The record is from RNAcentral.